RNAcentral lists this ribosomal RNA (547 nucleotides) under uncultured Alphaproteobacteria bacterium. Its description in RNAcentral is "bacterial SSU rRNA". It matches the Rfam family "Bacterial small subunit ribosomal RNA", at positions 169 to 749 of the family's 1533-position model. Lineage: Bacteria; Pseudomonadati; Pseudomonadota; Alphaproteobacteria. The record is from RNAcentral.
CCUCAUAAGUCUUAACGGAGAAAGCUUUAUGCGCCGAAGGAUGAGCCUGCACUUGAUUAGUUUGUUGGUAGGGUAAUGGCCUACCAAGACUUUGAUCUAUAGCUGAUCUGAGAGGAUGAUCAGCCACAUUGGGACUGAGACACGGCCCAAACUCCUACGGGAGGCAGCAGUAGGGAAUAUUGCACAAUGGAGGAAACUCUGAUGCAGCGAUGCCGCGUGAGUGAAGAAGGCCUUUGGGUUGUAAAGCUCUUUCGUCGGGGAAGAAAAUGACUGUACCCGAAUAAGAAGGUCCGGCUAACUUCGUGCCAGCAGCCGCGGUAAUACGAAGGGACCUAGCGUAGUUCGGAAUUACUGGGCUUAAAGAGUUCGUAGGUGGUUAAAAAAGUUGGUGGUGAAAUCCCAGAGCUUAACUCUGGAACUGCCAUCAAAACUUUUUAGCUAGAGUAUGAUAGAGGAAAGCAGAAUUUCUAGUGUAGAGGUGAAAUUCGUAGAUAUUAGAAAGAAUACCAAUUGCGAAGGCAGCUUUCUGGAUCAUUACUGACGCUGA